AGUUUCCUAGCCAUGAGAUUCUUUUUUUUUUCUUUUUUUUUUUUAAGAUCUCUAUCAGAACAUGCAAGAGUGACCAACCAAGAGGUAUCCAUCCCACCCAACAGCAUAUGCCUGCCAUAAAGCUAUCACAUUAUGUUUACAGUUAAAAAGCAGUGACACUAUGUCUUCCGGCUGUGUUCGGUGAGGAUACUUGUCUCUGCUUCUCCACUAAGCAUAGAGCAGCUGCCACUCAAGUACAACAAAAUACACAGUGAUGGAUGAUGAAGACAUCAUAGAGGAUUGUGCAGAUAUUCUAGUGAAAUAUAGCCUUCAUUACAUAUAUUUUGUGUUUCCAUGGGACUUUGCUCUUCCUUGAAGAGUUGGUUGUCAGAAUGGAAGAAAAAUACUCUCUAUAAUAUUAAAGAUAAAAGUACAAGUGUAUAAAAAGUGUAAAUGUACAAAUUUCUAUCCUAGCCUUAAUGUGUGGAGCAAUGUAGUGGUCUGCUAUUUCAUUUGCAUAUAUAUUUAUUGACUCUUUAUGUAUUUUUUAUGUAUUAAAGUGUGAUUUAUGCAUUUGGAAUGAUGUAAUCACAAUCAUUUAUUAAUGUAU
Molecule: long non-coding RNA, 589 nt
Organism: Myxocyprinus asiaticus (Chinese sucker)
Lineage: Eukaryota; Metazoa; Chordata; Actinopteri; Cypriniformes; Catostomidae
Exons: 4
Source: RefSeq, a predicted model, not a curated record